CGGCGAGUGGCGAACGGGUGAGUAAUAUAUCGGAACGUACCCUGGAGUGGGGGAUAACGUAGCGAAAGUUACGCUAAUACCGCAUACGAUCUGAGGAUGAAAGUGGGGGAUGCGCAAGCACCUCAUGCUCCUGGAGCGGCCGAUAUCUGAUUAGCUAGUUGGUGGGGUAAAGGCCUACCAAGGCAUCGAUCAGUAGCUGGUCUGAGAGGACGACCAGCCACACUGGAACUGAGACACGGUCCAGACUCCUACGGGAGGCAGCAGUGGGGAAUUUUGGACAAUGGGCGAAAGCCUGAUCCAGCAAUGCCGCGUGAGUGAAGAAGGCCUUCGGGUUGUAAAGCUCUUUUGUCAGGGAAGAAACGGUGAGGGCUAAUAUCCCUUGCUAAUGACGGUACCUGAAGAAUAAGCACCGGCUAACUACGUGCCAGCAGCCGCGGUAAUACGUAGGGUGCAAGCGUUAAUCGGAAUUACUGGGCGUAAAGCGUGCGCAGGCGGUUUUGUAAGUCUGUCGUGAAAUCCCCGGGCUCAACCUGGGAAUUGCGAUGGAGACUGCAAG
This 556-nucleotide ribosomal RNA is filed under the name Rugamonas sp. s1z1. RNAcentral's name for it is "bacterial SSU rRNA". It matches the Rfam family "Bacterial small subunit ribosomal RNA", at positions 89 to 639 of the family's 1533-position model. Lineage: Bacteria; Pseudomonadati; Pseudomonadota; Betaproteobacteria; Burkholderiales; Oxalobacteraceae. The record is from RNAcentral.